GUUCUGGAGUCGACCAAAAGAAAGGAAGAACAAGGAAAACCCUUGUUUUCAUAAAUCACCAAGAUUAGAAGGAGAAUCAAAGCCAAAACAUAUGCAUGAACCUUAAUCUCUAACCAUCUAAGCUUGUUCUUCAAAGUGUAUCGGGAUCAUGUCAAGAUGGAUGGACGCAUGGAAGGCUAAAAGGGUAAAAAGGAAGCAAUGAAACGGAUACUAAUGCGGACAUCUAAGGUUGCACGGUUUUAACAUCAUUAUGAAGUCUAAGAGGUUGAAGAUCGAGUCAAAGAGCGCAGAUUGUACGGGAGGAGUAGUGACAUAGCUUGUAUUUGUAUGAUGUUUUCGAUACAUCAAUUAAUAACGAAUGAUGUCCCUCUUUGAUAAGAGUCAUUUUAAAUGAUGUUCAAGAAUGUUACAGCAUUGUUGUGAAAUAAAUUUUUUGGUUCGUAUUUCCGCUA
Long non-coding RNA from Helianthus annuus (common sunflower), 452 nucleotides. RefSeq lists it as uncharacterized. The record is from RefSeq and is a predicted model, not a curated record. Lineage: Eukaryota; Viridiplantae; Streptophyta; Magnoliopsida; Asterales; Asteraceae. The transcript is spliced from 3 exons.